AUCUUCACCCCGUCUAAUGUCUAAAUGUUUUUUUCCUUUUCACUCCAUUUUAUUACAUUUUACUAUUGGUCUCUUUCAUGGCGUCCGGUUACUAUUAAAGAUUCUUACGUCUGAUUGAGCCCCAGAACCACCGACACGUCCGCCUACAUUUAUCGUUAACGAUAUAAUUCCAUAGCCGGGCGGUGAAUUUCCACAGAUAAUCGGCAUUGAUGGUAAUGCAUGCGAGGAAACUUCAAAGGAUUAGUGAUGGGUAUUAUGACAAGAACCCGUCCCAUCAGUAUCAGAAUUCCAAAUAUUUAGUUUCAAAAAAUUCUAGCAGUGAUCAAAAGUAUGGCAGUGUUAGGGGAAAUGGUACCUCGUACCCAAGUCCUAGCCGAGGAAGUCCAUCGCGAGAUCGAUCAUACUCUAGCAAAAGUUCAUAUCAUUCUCAAAAAAGUCACAGAGAUAAGGAGAGAGAUUCUCGAGACUAUAAAUCUAGGAAUAGUGAUAAAUAUUCUGAUUAUAGUAGGUCACCAAAAGAUAGACGAAGUAGAGAUGAAUAUAGAACAAACCACGAUCGGAUUAGUCCGGAAAAAAUGGUUGUUCAUUCUGUGAAGUGGUCAAAUUCUAGGGAUUCUAGAGAUUCUAGAGAAUCUGGUCAACGGAAAGUUGUUCAUAGCUCUUGUCAGAGUAGCAGCAGUAGUAGUAAUAACCGUGAAUCCAGGUCUGGCGGAAGCUCGACUGUCACUAAAGUUGGUGAUUGGUCUGAACACACAAGUUCUUCAGGCAAAAAAUACUAUUAUAAUUGUAAAACCGAAGUAUCCCAAUGGGAUCAGCCAAGAGAAUGGUUAGAAGCUUAUCCAGCAUCUCAACCUUCUCGAACACAAUACCACCAUGACAAACAUUCCAAUAACUCUAUGAUGAGAUCAUCAUCAAUGAGCAAUCAUGUGAACAAAGUUUCACAACAGUCCUCUCAGCAACAAGUUAAUUCUACAAGUAGACCAACUCACCAUCAAAAAGAUGCUUAUUGGAACCAAAUGCGAAGUAAUAAUCUUCCAAUAAAUGUCUCGCAAUCUCAUCAUGUGUCUGAGUGUAAUGUAGAUAGACUUGAACAAGAUGGACCAACAAUAAUCAAUUCCUGCGAUUCUUCGCAAACCCAAGAUAUGGAAUUGUGUAGUGGUGACAGCACUCCAACUUCGGAAAAGUCCUUUCAACUAUCAAAUGUACCUGCACAAAGGCACAGUUCUUCUACUCCUCAAUCACAAGUAAAGGGAGCUGAAGUUAACAGUGAACCAUGUGAAAGAACAAAUGUUGAUGUUGGAUCAACUACACCACCAUUAUCAAAUAUAACUCAGAAUUUAGUUGAUUCAUCAACAACCAAUAAUGUUACUGAACGAAGUCCACCCACUCCUGCAAGCACAGAGACUAAUAAUAUCCAAGAAGUUAAAGGAAGUCCUGUAACAAGCCAUGCUGAACAAGUUGUCCAAGUCAACAAUGUAAUAAGUUACAGGCAGCUUGGAACAACAACGUCUCCCAUCAUGUCAAACUUUGUACGUGAUGAUUUAACAUCACAUGUUAAAUCAUGGCCAGCUGAUAUUUUAGCAAAACAGGCACAAAAAUUAAAUGAAGAAGCCCAUAUAUUAGGAAGUGUACACUGUUCACGAGUAUCUGCAGAACUCAAAUAUGCAAGAUCUAUUGUUCGUCUGACUGAAGUGCAAGCAUCCUUACUAGAACACAAGGUGUUAUUUUUACAGCAACAAAUUAAAACUUUAGAAAAAUUAAAAUCUGAAAAUUCAUUUAUGGGUGAAGAAGAUGAAGGAAGGACGACUUAAAUAUACUAUGUUAAGAAUUAAAGUGGGUUCUCGAGGAACUAUAAAAAGAAUCGCCAACAGUAUUUGUUGUCUAAAAUAUUAGCGGCUAAAAUAUGGUUCUUCAAAAAUACACGUACAAUAAAAAAAUGUUGGUUCGGACACAAUAUUUUUGGAUUUUUUAUGCGCUCCCAGGUUCUCAUUUGAAAAUAGAAAUUUGUAUCGCCACUGGACAAAAUUGUAGUACAAAAUUAUAUAGUUAAAAGAAUAAUGGAAUUUAUACUUAACUUGGCAAUAAAAUGGACUGACAGAAAAAAAUAUGGAACUGCAAUCAUUUCAAAACCCAAAUAAGAAUCACGGAAAAAAACCCACAAACUAAACAAAAACUUCUACUAGGAUAAAAAUAAUAAGUAAAAAUGUCUAUAUAUUAAUACAGAAAUACUUUUUUCGUUCA
RNAcentral lists this unclassified non-coding RNA (2241 nucleotides) under Acyrthosiphon pisum (pea aphid). RNAcentral describes it as "wW domain-containing adapter protein with coiled- coil, transcript variant X2". The record is from RNAcentral. Lineage: Eukaryota; Metazoa; Arthropoda; Insecta; Hemiptera; Aphididae.